Long non-coding RNA from Cannabis sativa, 1225 nucleotides. RefSeq lists it as uncharacterized. The transcript is spliced from 3 exons. NCBI's taxonomy places the organism in Eukaryota, Viridiplantae, Streptophyta, Magnoliopsida, Rosales, Cannabaceae. The record is from RefSeq and is a predicted model, not a curated record.
UAAAUGCGCCAGUAAAACGUAACACCAUUAGGCGCGAGAAUUUGCCGCCUUUGAUUUCAUUUUUGGGGCGCUUUUCUACUUUUACCGGCGCAUAUAUGCGCCGGCAAAAGGCUGAAAAAAGUUGGAGGGAAAAUUCCCGCGUGGGUUUUAUUUGGUAGGUGGGGACACUUUUACUGGCGCAAUUAUGCGCCGGCAAAAGUGUUAGUAAAACGCGCGUUUCACUCCUAGGUCAGAGUAAAUUUAUUAAAAAACUUUUACCGGCGCAAUUGGAUGCGCCGGUAAAAGUAGUAAUAUGUAUCAGGGGGCACGAAGCCCCCUUUCUUCCCCACUUUCAUUUGCAGAGCCUCCAGCUGCCCCCUCUCUCUCGUUCUCUCUAGUUCUCUCUCGUUCUCUCUCUCCUUUCCCUCUCAAUCUCUAUCAAACUCUCUCAAUCUCUCUUAAUUUUUUCUCAAAAUCUCUCUUUCCCACUCAAUCUCUCUUUUUUCAUCUAUUUUUCCCCAAAAAAAAAAGUCCGACCACCACUCCGUCCUCACCACCGCCGGCUGCACCACCGCACCGCCGCCGUCCACACCACCGCACCCCCCAAACGCCGGCUGCAAGGCGAGAGCAGCGAAAAAUAAAGAAAGUCGGGGUAAGAUGAAAUUUCUAGGAGGCUGGGGCUCCAAGCCUAUUGUUUCACAUGUUGUCGAAGGGGCUAACCCCGACACAGGAGAACUGCCAACUGCGGUGGAAACUUUUCAAAAGUUUCACCAUAAAGGCAACGAUUGGCGCAACGAGUUUGCGCAACAAGCUUACGUAAGUUUACGUUUUAAUUCAAUUUUUAUUUAUUUCUUUCAAUUUAUUUUGUGUUAAAAUUAACCAUUUAACUUAUUUGUUUAAUUGUUUUAGGAGCAAAUGGUUGAAAUAGCGGCAACUCAACCAGCGCCCACUGAAGAUGAGCCCGAAGAGCCUGCUGUCGAUCCUACACAGUACCCCCGAGACUUACCUGUUAUGACGCAAGUACUCGGGGAACGAUCUCGGCAUCUUAGAGGCUUUGGCCAUCUCCCCAGACUGAAGGGAGUUGGGGCCAAAAGAGCACCUGCCACGCAUCCUUCAGCCCAACCGACUGUUACAAUGGAACAGUACGAGGCUUUACAGAAAAAAGUGGAGGAAGCGGAGCAGACAACUCAACAUACGAGGCAGCAGUAUGAGACACAACAACUCUACCUCAGACGAUUCCAAGAUC